CCUACGGGGCGCUGCAGUGAGGAAUAUUGGUCAAUGGGCGCGAGCCUGAACCAGCCAAGUAGCGUGAAGGAUGACUGCCCUACGGGUUGUAAACUUCUUUUAUAAAGGAAUAAAGUGAGGCACGUGUGCCUUUUUGUAUGUACUUUAUGAAUAAGGAUCGGCUAACUCCGUGCCAGCAGCCGCGGUAAUACGGAGGAUCCGAGCGUUAUCCGGAUUUAUUGGGUUUAAAGGGAGCGUAGGUGGAUUGUUAAGUCAGUUGUGAAAGUUUGCGGCUCAACCGUAAAAUUGCAGUUGAAACUGGCAGUCUUGAGUACAGUAGAGGUGGGCGGAAUUCGUGGUGUAGCGGUGAAAUGCUUAGAUAUCAUACAGAACACCGAUUGCGAAGGCAGCUUACCAAGCUACUUCUGACGUUGAGGCACGAAAGCGUGGGGAGCAAACAGGAUUAGAUACCCUUGUAGUC
This 460-nucleotide ribosomal RNA is filed under the name uncultured bacterium. Its description in RNAcentral is "partial 16S ribosomal RNA". It matches the Rfam family "Bacterial small subunit ribosomal RNA", at positions 338 to 795 of the family's 1533-position model. The record is from RNAcentral.